GGGUUGUGAGGUUAAGCGAAUAAGCGUACACGGUGGAUGCCUAGGCAAUCAGAGGCGAUGAAGGACGUGCUAAUCUGCGAUAAGCGUCGGUAAGGUGAUAUGAACCGUUAUACCCGACGAUUUCCGAAUGGGGAAACCCAAUAUCCAAUGGAUAUUAUCAUUAACUGAAUACAUAGGUUAAUGAAGCGAACCGGGAGAACUGAAACAUCUCAGUACCCCGAGGAAAAGAAAUCAACCGAGAUUCCCCUAGUAGCGGCGAGCGAACGGGGAACAGCCCAGAGUCUUAAUCAAUAACAGCAUCAGGAGAACGGUCUGGAAAGUCCGGCAGUAAAGGGUGAUAGCCCCGUAUCCGAAGAUGCUGUUAUUGUGAACUCGACGAGUAGGGCGGGACACGUGUUAUCCUGUCUGAAUAUGGGGGGACCAUCCUCCAAGGCUAAAUACUCCUGAUUGACCGAUAGUGAACCAGUACCGUGAGGGAAAGGCGAAAAGAACCCCGGCGAGGGGAGUGAAAAAGAACCUGAAACCGUGUACGUACAAGCAGUAGGAGCCUCUUUAUGGGGUGACUGCGUACCUUUUGUAUAAUGGGUCAGCGACUUAUAUUCUGUAGCAAGGUUAACCGUAUAGGGGAGCCGUAGGGAAACCGAGUCUUAACUGGGCGAAUGAGUUGCAGGGUAUAGACCCGAAACCCGGUGAUCUAUCCAUGGGCAGGUUGAAGGUUGGGUAACACUAACUGGAGGACCGAACCGACUAAUGUUGAAAAAUUAGCGGAUGACUUGUGGAUGGGGGUGAAAGGCCAAUCAAACCGGGAGAUAGCUGGUUCUCCCCGAAAGCUAUUUAGGUAGCGCCUCGUGAAUUCAUCUUCGGGGGUAGAGCACUGUUUCGACUAGGGGGUCAUCCCGACUUACCAACUCGAUGCAAACUGCGAAUACCGAAGAAUGUUAUCACGGGAGACACACGGCGGGUGCUAACGUCCGUCGUGAAGAGGGAAACAACCCAGACCGCCAGCUAAGGUCCCAAAGUCAUGGUUAAGUGGGAAACGAAGUGGGAAGGCUCAGACAGCCAGGAUGUUGGCUUAGAAGCAGCCAUCAUUUAAAGAAAGCGUAAUAGCUCACUGGUCGAGUCGGCCCGCGCGGAAGAUGUAACGGGGCUAAACCAUGCACCGAAGCUGCGGCAGCGACACUAAGUGUUGUUGGGUAGGGGAGCGUUCUGUAAGCCUGCGAAGGUGUACUGUGAGGUAUGCUGGAGGUAUCAGAAGUGCGAAUGCUGACAUAAGUAACGAUAAUGCGGGUGAAAAACCCGCACGCCGGAAGACCAAGGGUUCCUGUCCUACGUUAAUCGGGGCAGGGUGAGUCGACCCCUAAGGCGAGGCUGAAAAGCGUAGUCGAUGGGAAACGGGUUAAUAUUCCCGUACUGGUGGUAACUGCGAUGGGGGAACGGAGAAGGCUAGGUUGUCCGGGCGACGGUCGUCCCGGUUCAAGCAUGUAGGCAGAGUGAUUAGGCAAAUCCGGUCACUUAAUGCUGAGGUGUGAUGACGAACCACUAAGGUGGUGAAGCAAUUGAUGCCCUGCUUCCAGGAAAAGCCUCUAAGCUUCAGGUUACCAACAAUCGUACCCCAAACCGACACAGGUGGUCAGGUAGAGAAUACUCAGGCGCUUGAGAGAACUCGGGUGAAGGAACUAGGCAAAAUGGUGCCGUAACUUCGGGAGAAGGCACGCUGGCGGUAAGUGAAGUCCCUUGCGGACGGAGCCGAAGCCAGUCGAAGAUACCAGCUGGCUGCAACUGUUUAUUAAAAACACAGCACUGUGCAAACACGAAAGUGGACGUAUACGGUGUGACGCCUGCCCGGUGCUGGAAGGUUAAUUGAUGGGGUUAUCCUUAGGGAGAAGCUCUUGAUCGAAGCCCCAGUAAACGGCGGCCGUAACUAUAACGGUCCUAAGGUAGCGAAAUUCCUUGUCGGGUAAGUUCCGACCUGCACGAAUGGCGUAAUGAUGGCCAGGCUGUCUCCACCCGAGACUCAGUGAAAUUGAACUCGCUGUGAAGAUGCAGUGUACCCGCGGCAAGACGGAAAGACCCCGUGAACCUUUACUAUAGCUUGACACUGAACAUUGAGCCUUGAUGUGUAGGAUAGGUGGGAGACUAUGAAGUGUGGACGCCAGUCUGCAUGGAGUCAACCUUGAAAUACCACCCUUUAACGUUUGAUGUUCUAACCUAGGCCCAUAAUCUGGGUCGGGGACCGUGUCUGGUGGGUAGUUUGACUGGGGCGGUCUCCUCCUAAAGAGUAACGGAGGAGCACGAAGGUUGGCUAAGCAUGGUCGGACAUCAUGCGGUUAGUGCAAAGGCAUAAGCCAGCUUGACUGUGAGAGUGACGGCUCGAGCAGGUACGAAAGUAGGUCUUAGUGAUCCGGUGGUUCUGAAUGGAAGGGCCAUCGCUCAACGGAUAAAAGGUACUCCGGGGAUAACAGGCUGAUACCGCCCAAGAGUUCAUAUCGACGGCGGUGUUUGGCACCUCGAUGUCGGCUCAUCACAUCCUGGGGCUGAAGUAGGUCCCAAGGGUAUGGCUGUUCGCCAUUUAAAGUGGUACGCGAGCUGGGUUUAGAACGUCGUGAGACAGUUCGGUCCCUAUCUGCCGUGGGCGUUGGAAGAUUGAGAGGGGUUGCUCCUAGUACGAGAGGACCGGAGUGAACGCACCACUGGUGUUCGGGUUGUCAUGCCAAUGGCAUUGCCCGGUAGCUAAGUGCGGAAGAGAUAACCGCUGAAAGCAUCUAAGCGGGAAACUUGCCUCGAGAUGAGUCUUCCCUGUCACCUAGAGUGACCUAAAGGAACGUUUAAGACUAAGACGUUGAUAGGCUGGGUGUGUAAGCGUAGCGAUACGUUGAGCUAACCAGUACUAAUGAACCGUGAGGCUUAACCUGACAACACCGAAGGUGUUU
RNAcentral lists this ribosomal RNA (2930 nucleotides) under Proteus vulgaris. Its description in RNAcentral is "23S ribosomal RNA". It matches the Rfam family "Bacterial large subunit ribosomal RNA". Lineage: Bacteria; Pseudomonadati; Pseudomonadota; Gammaproteobacteria; Enterobacterales; Morganellaceae. The record is from RNAcentral.